AAGUCGUAACAAGGUUUCCGUAGGUGAACCUGCGGAAGGAUCAUUACCACGUUCCAAACGUAUCAACCAUCGCGAAUAAGUUUUAAAUUUCUCCCAUCAACAGAAAAUGAGCUGAAUCACAUGAGUGCGUGUGCGGGGCCUGAAAAUUGGCCAGCGAGUGUGUAAAUAACUUAUAGUUCCGAAAGGACUAUAGACAGCUGUAUUUCUGGGAUGGCUUUUUUCUCCUACCUUCGGUUUCCGACACCGAUUGGGAGGUAGGGGAGCAAACAAACUAUAAUCACCUUUUUGCUAGUUGACUUGAAUAUGUUACUUUCGCUUCGGCGUGAGUACACGUUUUUAAUUAAACGCAAAUACAACUCUUAGCAAUGGAUAUCUAGGUUCUC
RNAcentral lists this unclassified non-coding RNA (383 nucleotides) under fungal sp. Its description in RNAcentral is "partial internal transcribed spacer region". The stretch from base 1 to 46 matches the Rfam family "Eukaryotic small subunit ribosomal RNA", at positions 1786 to 1831 of the family's 1831-position model. Lineage: Eukaryota; Fungi. The record is from RNAcentral.